CAGCCGCCGCGGUAAUACGUAGGGGGCGAGCGUUGUCCGAAGUUACUGGGCGUAAAGCGCGCGUAGGCGGCUUCUUAAGUCUGAGGUGAAAGGUUCAACGCUUAACGUGAACAGUGCCUUGGAUACUGGGGAGCUUGAGUAUGGGAGAGGGCAGUGGAAUGGCUGGUGUAGCGGUGAAAUGCGUAGAUAUCAGUCGGAACACCCAUGGCGAAGGCAGCUGCCUGGCCUAAUACUGACGCUGAGGUGCGAAAGCGUGGGGAGCGAACGGGAUUAGAUACCCCCGUAGUCCCUGUCUCUUAUA
This 301-nucleotide ribosomal RNA is filed under the name uncultured bacterium. Its description in RNAcentral is "partial 16S ribosomal RNA". It matches the Rfam family "Bacterial small subunit ribosomal RNA", at positions 509 to 808 of the family's 1533-position model. The record is from RNAcentral.